Molecule: long non-coding RNA, 2724 nt
Organism: Phyllostomus discolor (pale spear-nosed bat)
Lineage: Eukaryota; Metazoa; Chordata; Mammalia; Chiroptera; Phyllostomidae
Exons: 2
Source: RefSeq, a predicted model, not a curated record
UUGUCCCGCCCCGAGACCCCGCCCCUGGUCCAGCGGCGGCUCCCAGAGCCGAGGGGCGGGCCCCCCAGCCUGCGCUCCCGCGCCUUUUCCGCCAGGGGGACGACUUUCUCCUCUCCCGCGCGAGGGCCGGGGCCCGGGGCUCCCUCAGGGCCUCCGGGAACGCUCCUCAGCGCCUCGCGAGGCCUCAGGGCCUCGCCGUGAGAAGCAGAUGGAAACUAGGCAUCUAGAGCUGCCAUUGUGGCUCUUCAGUCAGCUGGCACCCAGUCUGUUUGUCAUCCUGCUCCAGCCUCAAGGUCACCACAAGUUGUGAAAUGGCUGCUGGAGCUCCAGCCAUCAAGCUGACUUCCAUCUGGACGCAGGGGGAAGGAAGUCCAAAAGGAACCUCCCUGUCAAUGGCGUCAGCUUCAGUUAAGCAGCCUGUGUAGACAUUCCACACAGCGUUUCUGUGUACAUCUCACUGGCUAGAGCCUAGCUCUCCCAGGCAGGCCGGCAAACUGUCUUCUAGCUGGAUCCACUGUCACCCCAAAUAAAACUGGGAUUCUGUUAUCAAGGGAGCAGAGGUAGUGGGUGUUCACAAGGCAACCAGCUAAUAAUGUUUGCCUCACCUUCAGCCUGGGACCAGUUUAGAUGCUCUGCCUGUGGUGGGGGCUGAUAUGGCACAUAUUCACACAUGCCAUCUACAUGUACACACACUAGGACCUUUUCCACUGCCAUGGAGCAGAAACAACUUGUAAGAAAAAGAGAGUUUUUCCUUUUCUUUUCUUUUUUGAAAUCAUAGGGGAAAUGUCAUAAGCUUUCUCUCCAGGGCAUAUUGCUCCACCCAGUGGCUCAGAGCCCUGUCCUGGUGCAGUCAUGCUAAAAAACACGCACAGCUGUGCUCGGUCAUGUGCUCUGCUGGGAGGGGUCCCCCUGGUCAUUCAUGCUGCCAGCUGCCAAGUGAAGGUGCAGAAGUGCUGGGAACCCGGGUCCACAGUAUCUAGUUAUAUGGAAAAAAAGUCAUCUAGUGUUUCAUAGAAAUUGUUAGGAUUGUAUAAAAAAUUCCAGGGCUACUGAGUUUCAUCUGAAGAAGAAAUUCAUUUUAUAACCCACUGGUGUGAAAACACCAUUUCUGGCAUUUGGAAACUUAAGAUCCAGUUCAACUCUUUGAGAAUUUACGUAGGAAGGGUCUAUUCUCAACAAAAAUCCAGGUGAGACACAGAUGGAAAGGUUGCUAUAGCAAGUUCCCUGCCCUAAGGAGUUUGCAGACGGGCAGAGAUAAACUAUACAGACAUCACAGGAGGUCAAGACCUGAAGAGAUAACAUCAUGAAACUAACCUCCUUAUUUUGAGUAUGAGGAAGCCCUAAGCAGUGGUAUGUCAAGUCCGUUGUAGUUUAAAAGGGGGAGAGGCACGUAAACACACUGAUGCCUCCAAAAUAUUGAUUGAAACUGUCCUCCUCACCAAGAGAAAAAAAAAGUCUAAUUUCAACUGAAAUUCUCAGAAUAAUACACUUAAUUCAAAUUAUCUACAAUAUUGCAAUUUUGCCUUGAAAAUUUUCUCCCUUACAAGAUUAUUCAAAAUGAAAAAUACAUCCAAAGUUCAUUAACCAGUAAGGAAAUGUGGUAAAGAAUUUCCUCAUGAAAGCAAGCUUCAUCUCCAUGCAGGACCCUUUAGUAAACCAGAUUGGGGGAAAUUCUAGAUUUCAUAGAUUUGGGGCCAUGGAUGCUCAGGGGUGCCUGCCAUGGUAGAGCUGGUCCUGCCCACAGGCCUCCCUCACCCACUAAGAUUCCGGUGAACAGAGACAGCACAGAGGGGAGGGUGGUUAGGGGGUGGAGAUGGGGAGGACACGGCACAGAUGGGUAACAUCCUGCCCGUGUGUCCUCACUGUGUGGGCACACAACAUGCCAAAGAGCAGGGGGACAGGCUGAGUGAGCAGUGACCCGUUACACAGUGACCCUGCUCCCGAAUGAACCUCAGCCGCAUGAAUGUCGGACUCUCAUUCACCACCCGUGCAGAUGAGUGCAUCAGGGAAAAGGGAGGGGAAAUGAACAUUUUCCAGCUGUAAAUUCCUAUCCUUUAGAAGGCCAAGUUGAAAGUCAAAUGAUAAAGUGUCAUGUUUGGCUGUGGGUAAGAAAGAUCGCCUGAGACUGAAUCGGCCCAUUGAGGAGCACAAAAACAGAACAAGACAUUGCUCCAAAAGGACACCUUAGGGCAGAGAGUGCCCCCAAGUGACCGCCAGGUGGCACUGUAGACCAGACACAGCUGGGUUGUUGGUCUGGAAAGGCUGGGGUGCAGUGGGAAAGCUGGUGUCAAAACCCAGCUAGACAUACAGUGGAACGUUAUUCAGUCCUCAAAGGCAAGGGGAUUGUGGCACAUGCUCUAAUAUCAAUGAACCUCAAAGAUACUACUCGAAGCCAAAUUAAGUCAGACACACAAGGACACCAACUGCAUGAUUCCGCUUAUAUAUGCUACCUAGAGCAGUCGAACUUACAGAGACCACAAGCAGAAGGGUGGUUUCAAGGACUGGGGACAGGAGGGAAGGAGGAGUUCCUGUUUAGUGGGCACAGAACUGCUCUGUGGGCCGAGGAAGGACUUCUGGGUGGGACGGUGAGGACAGCUGCACAGCAGCACAGCAGUGAGGAUGUGUGAUACUAGCACAGAACGGACAAGUUCGCAAAAACAGAUAAGAUGGUAAACUUCAUGUUUCAAAUGUUUUACCACAAUAAAAUAAACCAGGGUGCUCACA